RNAcentral lists this ribosomal RNA (706 nucleotides) under Bacillus sp. (in: firmicutes). RNAcentral describes it as "bacterial SSU rRNA". It matches the Rfam family "Bacterial small subunit ribosomal RNA", at positions 74 to 763 of the family's 1533-position model. Lineage: Bacteria; Bacillati; Bacillota; Bacilli; Caryophanales; Bacillaceae. The record is from RNAcentral.
AAGAGCUUGCUCUUAUGAAGUUAGCGGCGGACGGGUGAGUAACACGUGGGUAACCUGCCCAUAAGACUGGGAUAACUCCGGGAAACCGGGGCUAAUACCGGAUAACAUUUUGAACCGCAUGGUUCGAAAUUGAAAGGCGGCUUCGGCUGUCACUUAUGGAUGGACCCGCGUCGCAUUAGCUAGUUGGUGAGGUAACGGCUCACCAAGGCAACGAUGCGUAGCCGACCUGAGAGGGUGAUCGGCCACACUGGGACUGAGACACGGCCCAGACUCCUACGGGAGGCAGCAGUAGGGAAUCUUCCGCAAUGGACGAAAGUCUGACGGAGCAACGCCGCGUGAGUGAUGAAGGCUUUCGGGUCGUAAAACUCUGUUGUUAGGGAAGAACAAGUGCUAGUUGAAUAAGCUGGCACCUUGACGGUACCUAACCAGAAAGCCACGGCUAACUACGUGCCAGCAGCCGCGGUAAUACGUAGGUGGCAAGCGUUAUCCGGAAUUAUUGGGCGUAAAGCGCGCGCAGGUGGUUUCUUAAGUCUGAUGUGAAAGCCCACGGCUCAACCGUGGAGGGUCAUUGGAAACUGGGAGACUUGAGUGCAGAAGAGGAAAGUGGAAUUCCAUGUGUAGCGGUGAAAUGCGUAGAGAUAUGGAGGAACACCAGUGGCGAAGGCGACUUUCUGGUCUGUAACUGACACUGAGGCGCGAAAGCGUG